CUCCUCAUCCUCCUCCUCCUCAUCCUCCUCCAGCCUCCACCGCUAUGAUGCUGCUCCUCAUCCCACAAGCUGUAAUAAUGUGUUUUAGUGUGUUAGUUAACGGACAACCGGAGGACUCCAGACUGACCGAGAGAGCUUAUGUGAAUUUACAGAAACAGAAUUUAGUCAUGCUGUGCAGUGUCUUCGCAGUCCUGCUGCUGCUGAUGAUCAUAAUGGCUGUGUGUGUCUACAAACCGCUGUCCCGUCGGUGAACCUGUUCCCGAGGACCGAGAGAUAAAGACCUUUAGUCCAGCCCGGUGCAAAGCGACACCUGCACUGAGCCCACCGAGGAGCUCAGAGCCCCCCCUACCGGUACCAAGACCACCUCCUGCCAGACUGAACUGAGGGGAAACCGAGCCCAGGCUGCUCAGUUAUUUAUUAACUGGGGUUUCAUUUGUCAUGAAAGCAGGUUGUUUAAGAUUACACCUAUUUAUUUAUUUAUUUAUUUAUAUAAUUUAAAAUGGCUUCUGUAAAGGGGUUGUUAUAAAUGAUCUGCCUACCUUUACUGCCAAUAAUCUUUGCUAUUUUACUUGUUAUUUAUUUGGAGUAAAUGCUGUAAUUACUUGUAUUUUUUUCCACUUUUAAGGCCAUGUGUUUGUCUUAUUAGCCUGUCCUGAAGGGAAAUUUGGUCAAUAAGUCUGCAGGCCUUCAAACAUUAAAUACAUUUGAGUGGCAUUACAAAGGGAGAGAGCUGUCGAUGCUUAAAUCUGUAUCGGUUAAACCUGCUCAUCAAUCUUCUAAAAUUAACUAUAGGGCUAUUUAUUUUUAUAUAUUUGAUUGUGUGACACAUCAACAACUACUAAAGGUUAAGGAAAUGUUGUAAGGAGGUGUAUUUUAUUGUCUUAUUGGCCUUUAAAAAAAGGAAAUUUGUUGUUUAGUCCACAAGUAGUAUUUCAAAGUUGCUCUAAUCCAUUUCUCAAAGGGGGGUAUGCUGGCGUACUGCAGGGGAUAUGUGAGGUUUCAUUUAAAGAUUAUCAGUCAUAAAUAAAUAGUAAACUAUUUAUACUGUAAGUUCAAUAAAAAAUACUGUAAAUGUAAGUUCAAUAUUGCUAUUUUCAAAGAAUGCAACAAAUUAAAUCACGUUCACAAUGAUAUAUUGCUGCAUGCAUAUUGUACCCUCUCAAGUAUUUUUUUCAUACCAAAAAUGUAUUGCACUCAUCAGCGGUACUAAGCUGACAAAAAAAAGAACCACUGCUCCAAUCAUCAUUGGAAAUAAUGUUGAUUAAGGUUUCUGUGCAAGUUAAGAUCAAGUAAUGACUCAAAUUUUCCCCCUACAUGUGAAAAUCUCCUACUAAAAUAAAUCUGUGGGUUUCUA
Molecule: long non-coding RNA, 1354 nt
Organism: Dicentrarchus labrax (European seabass)
Lineage: Eukaryota; Metazoa; Chordata; Actinopteri; Moronidae
Exons: 2
Source: RefSeq, a predicted model, not a curated record